CCGUCGGGACCUGAUCCGGGGAGAUGAAAUGGAUGUGGGUGUCGAUCCCGCCCGCCGUGAGGAUCUUCCGCUCCCCCGCGAUGAUCUCCGUCGACGCGCCGACCGUGAUGUCCACGCCGUCCUGCAGGAGCGGGUUCCCGGCCUUCCCGAUGGCUUGGAUGUGGCCGUCGCGCAGCGCGACGGCGGCCUUGUAGAUGCCCGUGUAGUCGACAAUCAGGGCGUUCGUGAUGACGGUGUCCGGCACUCCUUCCAAACCGCCCGCCGCACCUCUCGUCAG
This 277-nucleotide small RNA is filed under the name Sinomonas humi. RNAcentral's name for it is "5' ureB small RNA". It matches the Rfam family "5' ureB small RNA". Lineage: Bacteria; Bacillati; Actinomycetota; Actinomycetes; Micrococcales; Micrococcaceae. The record is from Rfam by way of RNAcentral.